AACGAACGCUGGCGGCAUGCCUAACACAUGCAAGUCGAACGAGACCUUCGGGUCUAGUGGCGCACGGGUGCGUAACGCGUGGGAACCUGCCCUUAGGUUCGGAAUAACUCCCCGAAAGGGGUGCUAAUGCCGGAUAAUGUCUUCGGACCAAAGAUUUAUCGCCUUUGGAUGGGCCCGCGUUGGAUUAGCUAGUUGGUAGGGUAAAAGCCUACCAAGGCGACGAUCCAUAGCUGGUCUGAGAGGAUGAUCAGCCACACUGGGACUGAGACACGGCCCAGACUCCUGCGGGAGGCAGCAGUGGGGAAUAUUGGACAAUGGGCGAAAGCCUGAUCCAGCAAUGCCGCGUGAGUGAUGAAGGCCUUAGGGUUGUAAAGCUCUUUUACCCGGGAUGAUAAUGACAGUACCGGGAGAAUAAGCUCCGGCUAACUCCGUG
Molecule: ribosomal RNA, 433 nt
Filed under: uncultured bacterium
Lineage: Bacteria
Description: partial 16S ribosomal RNA
Rfam family: Bacterial small subunit ribosomal RNA
Source: RNAcentral